GCAAGUCGAACGAACUCUGGUAUUGAUGUGGUGCUUGCAUCAUGAUUUACAUUUGAGUGAGUGGCGAACUGGUGAGUAACACGUGGGAAACCUGCCCAGAAGCGGGGGAUAACACCUGGAAACAGAUGCUAAUACCGCAUAACAACUUGGACCGCAUGGUCCGAGUUUGAAAGAUGGCUUCGGCUAUCACUUUUGGAUGGUCCCGCGGCGUAUUAGCUAGAUGGUGGGGUAACGGCUCACCAUGGCAAUGAUACGUAGCCGACCUGAGAGGGUAAUCGGCCACAUUGGGACUGAGACACGGCCCAAACUCCUACGGGAGGCAGCAGUAGGGAAUCUUCCACAAUGGACGAAAGUCUGAUGGAGCAACGCCGCGUGAGUGAAGAAGGGUUUCGGCUCGUAAAACUCUGUUGUUAAAGAAGAACAUAUCUGAGAGUAACUGUUCAGGUAUUGACGGUAUUUAACCAGAAAGCCACGGCUAACUACGUGCCAGCAGCCGCGGUAAUACGUAGGUGGCAAGCGUUGUCCGGAUUUAUUGGGCGUAAAGCGAGCGCAGGCGGUUUUUUAAGUCUGAUGUGAAAGCCUUCGGCUCAACCGAAGAAGUGCAUCGGAAACUGGGAAACUUGAGUGCAGAAGAGGACAGUGGAACUCCAUGUGUAGCGGUGAAAUGCGUAGAUAUAUGGAAGAACACCAGUGGCGAAGGCGGCUGUCUGGUCUGUAACUGACGCUGAGGCUCGAAAGUAUGGGUAGCAAACAGGAUUAGAUACCCUGGUAGUCCAUACCGUAAACGAUGAAUGCUAAGUGUUGGAGGGUUUCCGCCCUUCAGUGCUGCAGCUAACGCAUUAAGCAUUCCGCCUGGGGAGUACGGCCGCAAGGCUGAAACUCAAAGGAAUUGACGGGGGCCCGCACAAGCGGUGGAGCAUGUGGUUUAAUUCGAAGCUACGCGAAGAACCUUACCAGGUCUUGACAUACUAUGCAAAUCUAAGAGAUUAGACGUUCCCUUCGGGGACAUGGAUACAGGUGGUGCAUGGUUGUCGUCAGCUCGUGUCGUGAGAUGUUGGGUUAAGUCCCGCAACGAGCGCAACCCUUAUUAUCAGUUGCCAGCAUUAAGUUGGGCACUCCGGUGAGACUGCCGGUGACAAACCGGAGGAAGGUGGGGAUGACGUCAAAUCAUCAUGCCCCUUAUGACCUGGGCUACACACGUGCUACAAUGGAUGGUACAACGAGUUGCGAACUCGCGAGAGUAAGCUAAUCUCUUAAAGCCAUUCUCAGUUCGGAUUGUAGGCUGCAACUCGCCUACAUGAAGUCGGAAUCGCUAGUAAUCGCGGAUCAGCAUGCCGCGGUGAAUACGUUCCCGGGCCUUGUACACACCGCCCGUCACACCAUGAGAGUUUGUAACAUCCAAAGUCGGUGGGGUAACCUAU
This 1421-nucleotide ribosomal RNA is filed under the name Lactiplantibacillus plantarum. RNAcentral describes it as "bacterial SSU rRNA". It matches the Rfam family "Bacterial small subunit ribosomal RNA". The record is from RNAcentral. Lineage: Bacteria; Bacillati; Bacillota; Bacilli; Lactobacillales; Lactobacillaceae.